Molecule: long non-coding RNA, 358 nt
Organism: Toxotes jaculatrix (banded archerfish)
Lineage: Eukaryota; Metazoa; Chordata; Actinopteri; Toxotidae
Exons: 3
Source: RefSeq, a predicted model, not a curated record
GUGAGCAUUGUGGAGCAGAGAGAGGUGGUUUUCCAUGGAGGACUGGAUGUAUGACCAGUCUGAUUUCUGCAGCUAAGAGGAGACAGUGCUAUGAAUCAGCCCCUGCUCAUAUACAGUGAAUACAUGUGGCAGCCACUUCCCUUUGGUCCUCACUGUGGCUCAUUGUUCCUCAGGUGUGUGUGGGUGCAGCUGUGCUCAUAGUGGUGUAGGUGUGAUAUCUCUUCUUCUGUGGUUGGUAUUGACACUGGCAGUGAGGCUGGAGGGUUGGCAGUGUUGCUUGCUCUGUCAGUCAGAAUGAAAUAGCUAAACUGAUGGAUUUCCAUCAAAGUUUGUUCUUUCAUAGACCUAAAAUACAGUG